GGUGCAGGUCGAAGAGGAAUUGGUAUUGCGAUGUUAAGGGAAGAUGAAGAUGAAUCACGCGUGCCCUUCUGUAGAAAUUUUUUACAAAAAUUACAAUUUAAAAUGUAUUGUUAAAUCAUAUUAGGGAUUUAGGGUUUAAUUAAAGUCAAUUUGGGAUUCAAUUUGGAGCGAAAUUGGCAGUCAUCAAGACACAGCUUUCUCCACAAUGGCAUAUGAUCGACCCAUCAUUCUUGUUCCAGCUUCCAUCUCCACGAUAGCUGACAAAGUGCAAAUGCUUUCUUCCACACUGAUUGCAAGUGGAUGACGAACAAGAAUGACCCAUGGACAUUUUUUCUUCUUCAGCUAUCGCACUUCCCUCUUUCGAAAAUUCACAAGCUUCCCAAUCUUCGUCACCAACAAACACAGAACAAUCCGCUCACUAAAUUUGCUUCUUCAGGUUUCGCACUUCCCCCUUUCGAAAACCCAAUUCCUCUCAACUUAAUGAAAAAGCCAAUAUUUAACUUCAUUUUAAACUCAUUUAACAAUAUAUUUUAAAUUGUAAUUUUUGUAAAAAGCCACGUUUCAUCAGAUGCAUGACACGUUUCAUAACUGCAAAGGCCACCUGUGCAAAUGUUAACACCCCAUCCUCUGUGCUGGCCAAAUAUUUGACGCUGUUAAAUUUUUUUAACGGAAAGGGUCAAUUUCAUUCAAAUUGGCUCUUUUGAGGACCAAAUUGGGAGUUUUAAUAAAAGAGGGAUGAAAUUGGGAAAGCGCCCCAAAAAUAGGGACGAUUAAAGGGUUUAAACCUACAUAUUAUCUCAAAAUAAUUUACAAUGUUUCCUUAAUUAUGAAAUUACUUGUUAAAUUAUUCAUUUUUAUAGAAUGCUUGCUCCUAACCUCACCUCACUACCCAAUUUCCUUGCUGGUUAUAUAACUAGCUUAAGAACUCUAUAUUUUUCCCAAUCCUUCUCGUACCCCAAUUGGUCACCGGAGAGAGAACAGAUGUCUAACGCAUCAAACUCACCUUCGACACCAACACAUAUGACUAGUCACAACUGACUGGACCAGGCCAAGGCUGCUCUAUGAUCAGGGAUGUGCGACUCUGGUUUUUAGGUUCUCUCUAUCCUACCAACAGAGAAGGUUCCCAACAAGUCCCAAGUAUUUUUAUUUGAUUUAAUCAACUAUCCUUUUUUUUUUUUUUCUAAUUCCCAAAGUUAUACACCCCUCUCACAAAACCUGAGGCUACACUCAACCCAUAAUUUCCCAUCAAAUCAGUAUAUCACAAUCAAACAUAGAGAAUGAACCAAAGGUUCAGAACAUUCCAAGACCAAAUACUUAAAACAUAGACAAUUAAAUAUCAAAUAAUAUAUCACAGUUAAAUUUAACAUGCAUAGAGCAUUAAAACAGAGUUAACAGUAUACAAACGCAAUUCAACAUAUUUUCUCAUAAAUUCAGGAAUUAAUCAGAAUAACAAAAUACUUAUAUAGUUAGCUCCCCUUACCUAGAAAUAAACAGCAGCAAGCUCAACCCAAGCUUUUAGAGUGCCCCCAUCAGUUAGGACACAAAGGAAGUUAGGACACAAAGGAACUUACGGAUAAUCAAACGAG
Molecule: long non-coding RNA, 1586 nt
Filed under: Vigna radiata
Lineage: Eukaryota; Viridiplantae; Streptophyta; Magnoliopsida; Fabales; Fabaceae
Description: long non-coding RNA (VRAD_LNC018431)
Source: RNAcentral